AGCUAAUAGAUACCCGGGUAGUCCCAGCAGUAAACGGUGCGCGUUUGGUGUGAGCAGGUUCGACCCUGUUCGCGCCGGAGCUAACGCGUUAAACGCGCCGCCUGGGAAGUACGAUCGCAAGAUUAAAACUCAAAGAAAUUGACGGGGGCCCGCACAAGCGGUGGAGUAUGUGGCUUAAUUCGAUGCAACGCGAAGAACCUUACCUGGGUUUGACAUGCAUCUCUAAGGCGGUGAAAGCUGCCGAGGGUAGCAAUACCCAAUUUGCACAGGUGCUGCAUGGCUGUCGUCAGCUCGUGUCGUGAGAUGUUGGGUUAAGUCCCGCAACGAGCGCAACCCUUGUAUGCUGUUGCCAUGAUUACUCAUGGCUCUCUGCGUAGACUGCCCCGUGAAACGGGGAGGAAGGUGGGGAUGACGUCAAGUCAGCAUGGCCCUUACACCCAGGGCUGCACACGUACUACAAUGCCCAGUACAAUUCGAACCCGUCCCGCGAGGGCUGGGAAAUCAGCGAAAACUGGGCUCA
RNAcentral lists this ribosomal RNA (520 nucleotides) under uncultured bacterium. RNAcentral's name for it is "bacterial SSU rRNA". It matches the Rfam family "Bacterial small subunit ribosomal RNA", at positions 767 to 1290 of the family's 1533-position model. The record is from RNAcentral.